This 227-nucleotide unclassified non-coding RNA is filed under the name Hevea brasiliensis (rubber tree). Lineage: Eukaryota; Viridiplantae; Streptophyta; Magnoliopsida; Malpighiales; Euphorbiaceae. The record is from RNAcentral.
GAAUUUUUAUAUGGUGAAAAAAAAAAUUCAUCAACCAAUACGUGUAUUUGUUUACAGACACAAAAUGCAUCAUAUUUUGAAACGAACAAAUGCAACUCAAAAACACAUUUGCUAAAGUGUACAUAUAACUGUAUACCAUUGUUAACUAAAACUACAAAGUCAGUCCACAUUGUUUCCAAAUUAAUUGUGGUCGUUGUGACAUCUUUUGAGUUUUGUUCACGUGUAUA